RNAcentral lists this ribosomal RNA (400 nucleotides) under Acrosiphonia sp. ASV_31. RNAcentral describes it as "SSU rRNA". It matches the Rfam family "Eukaryotic small subunit ribosomal RNA", at positions 592 to 998 of the family's 1831-position model. The record is from RNAcentral. Lineage: Eukaryota; Viridiplantae; Chlorophyta; Ulvophyceae; Ulotrichales; Ulotrichaceae.
CAAUAGCGUAUAUUUAAGUUGUUGCAGUUAAAAAGCUCGUAGUUGGAUUUCGGGUGGGUACCGCCGGUCUCCCUUCGGGUAUGUACUGGCGUGGCCCGCCUUGCUGUCGGGGACGGUCUCCUGGGCUUUAUUGUCCGGGAAUCGGAGUCGACGAUGUUACUUUGAGUAAAUUAGAGUGUUCAAAGCAAGCCUACGCUCUGAAUAUAAUAGCAUGGGAUAACACGACAGGACUCUGGCCUAUCGUGUUGGUCUGUAGGACCGGAGUAAUGAUUAAGAGGGACAGUCGGGGGCAUUCGUAUUCCAUUGUCAGAGGUGAAAUUCUUGGAUUUAUGGAAGACGAACAUCUGCGAAAGCAUUUGUCAAGGAUGUUUUCAUUGAUCAAGAACGAAAGUUGGGGGCU